UACGUAGGUGGCAAGCGUUGUCCGGAUUUAUUGGGUUUAAAGGGUGCGUAGGCGGCUUGAUAAGUCAGUGGUGAAAGCCGAUCGCUUAACGAUCGAAUUGCCAUUGAUACUGCCAGGCUUGAGUACAGUUGAGGUAGGCGGAAUUGACAGUGUAGCGGUGAAAUGCGUAGAUAUCUGUAGGAACACCCGUGGCGAAGGCGGCUCGCUGGACCGCAACUGACGCUGAGGAACGAAAGCUAGGGGAGCAAACAGG
RNAcentral lists this ribosomal RNA (253 nucleotides) under uncultured prokaryote. RNAcentral describes it as "partial 16S ribosomal RNA". It matches the Rfam family "Bacterial small subunit ribosomal RNA", at positions 524 to 776 of the family's 1533-position model. The record is from RNAcentral.